CGCAUCACCAUGAUCACCCCAUCCUACCAUGCCCACGACAACUCUCGUCUGAUCUGCCCAGGUAUUCCUGUUAUUGUGGACACAUGAAGUCAAGAUAAAGGAGAAUAUAGAACAUUUUAUAUCUGCUAAAUGGAGACUUGAGAAGACUUGGAACUACAUGUAUAGGGAUGGAGCUGACAGAUGCUCUAAAGGCCAGUCUAUAAUAUGGUGUACCACUGCAGCCCUCUCAUGCGGUGUCCUAACUUAUGGAUCAUCCGCUAUCAUUAAGUGAGCCAGAACAUCAUAUCAGCAAUGAGCGAGUAGCCCAUUUGAACCAAUAUUUUGUUCCAUAAAGGACAAUCACGAAACAGGCAGACAAAACUACAGGUUUGAAAAUAAAUGGAAGAAAAUCACUGGACACAGUAUAAUUUCCUAUCCCAGUAUUGCUGAAACUGUGGCAUUGUCAACAAACUCCA
Saccostrea cuccullata (small rock oyster) is the source of this 455-nucleotide long non-coding RNA. RefSeq lists it as uncharacterized. NCBI's taxonomy places the organism in Eukaryota, Metazoa, Mollusca, Bivalvia, Ostreida, Ostreidae. The transcript has 3 exons. The record is from RefSeq and is a predicted model, not a curated record.